Molecule: long non-coding RNA, 896 nt
Organism: Tripterygium wilfordii
Lineage: Eukaryota; Viridiplantae; Streptophyta; Magnoliopsida; Celastrales; Celastraceae
Exons: 2
Source: RefSeq, a predicted model, not a curated record
UUGAUGCAAGAACCCACCAACAUGGAUAUCCAUGAACACACAACAUAGAGAGAGAGAGAGAGAGUUCACUAUUGAAUCUAUAAAAGAAUGUGGAGUCUUCUCUUCCUCAUCAAGCUACAUGAUCUAUAUAUGUUGAUUCAGAAGGAGUCUGUGUGUGUGUGUGUAUAUCUUCUUUAGUUUGAUGUAUGGCACACAGGGUGAAGCCAGGCAAACAAGGAAGUACCACUCAUGUAUAUAUUUUUGAUUCAAUUCAGCGUCUGAAAGACCAUAGCAAUCUCAAGAAUCAGAGCAAACCUUCAACAUAAAAAAAAUGAUAGGCAUCCCAAAUUUUGUGUCCCAAAUAUGAUGUGUCAAGCAAUGAGUUAAUUUAUGUGGGUCCUUGCGUUUAAGUUGAAAAUAAAAUAAAUCAUGUGUAAUACAUCAUAUUUGGGACACUUGGUAUAUUAAUUUUUGAGAUCUCAUAAGUGUUACCCUCAACAUAUACCUAGCUAGGACAAGUUACUUCUUUUAGUGCCCCAUUGAUAAGAAUUCCCCGACUUAAAAUGCAGACAAUAGAAUCUCUAUUGUUUUUGUAAACAAGUGGCGCCAAAAGCAAUGGGUAUCACUUGUCAUUUCAUUUUUCAACACUCACAAAAAAAUGAUAUGUUAUGCAGAAUGAAAUAUUUGAUUUUGGUAUUUUAAGAAAUCUAUUGUUUGUGAAUCAAUUAGUAUUAUUUUUAAGAGUCAAGUAUCUUUUUUACUAGACAUAAUUUUAUUUAUUAAAGUAUUUUUAAGUAUUUGUUCACCAUUAAAAUUGUGUAGGGUUUCGUUUCAUUUACUAUUUCAAGUUGUAACCUCAUUAAGGGAUUUUAGUUUUGAGUUGAAUAAAAAUUAUAGAGGCGAGCCACCUUUUAUUU